CCGUAGAAGUUUUGUUUCUGCUCAGGACGAACGCUGGCGGCGUGCCUAAUACAUGCAAGUCGAGCGGACAGAUGGGAGCUUGCUCCCUGAUGUUAGCGGCGGACGGGUGAGUAACACGUGGGUAACCUGCCUGUAAGACUGGGAUAACUCCGGGAAACCGGGGCUAAUACCGGAUGGUUGUUUGAACCGCAUGGUUCAAACAUAAAAGGUGGCUUCGGCUACCACUUACAGAUGGACCCGCGGCGCAUUAGCUAGUUGGUGAGGUAAUGGCUCACCAAGGCAACGAUGCGUAGCCGACCUGAGAGGGUGAUCGGCCACACUGGGACUGAGACACGGCCCAGACUCCUACGGGAGGCAGCAGUAGGGAAUCUUCCGCAAUGGACGAAAGUCUGACGGAGCAACGCCGCGUGAGUGAUGAAGGUUUUCGGAUCGUAAAGCUCUGUUGUUAGGGAAGAACAAGUACCGUUCGAAUAGGGCGGUACCUUGACGGUACCUAACCAGAAAGCCACGGCUAACUACGUGCCAGCAGCCGCGGUAAUACGUAGGUGGCAAGCGUUGUCCGGAAUUAUUGGGCGUAAAGGGCUCGCAGGCGGUUUCUUAAGUCUGAUGUGAAAGCCCCCGGCUCAACCGGGGAGGGUCAUUGGAAACUGGGGAACUUGAGUGCAGAAGAGGAGAGUGGAAUUCCACGUGUAGCGGUGAAAUGCGUAGAGAUGUGGAGGAACACCAGUGGCGAAGGCGACUCUCUGGUCUGUAACUGACGCUGAGGAGCGAAAGCGUGGGGAGCGAACAGGAUUAGAUACCCUGGUAGUCCACGCCGUAAACGAUGAGUGCUAAGUGUUAGGGGGUUUCCGCCCCUUAGUGCUGCAGCUAACGCAUAAGCC
Molecule: ribosomal RNA, 881 nt
Filed under: uncultured bacterium
Lineage: Bacteria
Description: bacterial SSU rRNA
Rfam family: Bacterial small subunit ribosomal RNA
Source: RNAcentral